UAUGGGGACAAAGAAGUUCUGAUCAGAGUUCUGAAUGCUUGUGGAUUCUGCUAUGCUCCCUGGUGCAACUUAAAAUAUAGACCCCAGUGGCUCUUGGUUUCUUUGUUGAGGCUGGCUCUGGAAUCUCAGUUAGCUGCACAGAAGUGGAUAAUCUCCAUGUGAUGAUGUGAUGUGAUGGACAGUAGAAUCCUGGCAUAAAAUUUAGUUUCAAAAAGGAGGGAAGACCUGACUUUCUUUCCAAGAAGAAUGGUUGCAUUUUUAGUUGAAUGCUAUCAAUGUGACAUCUCCAUUUCUGGAUAUUUUCAAAACUUGAGUGGACAAGGCUCUGUGCAACAUGACCUAACCCUGAAGUUGGCACUGCUGAGAGCAGAAGGUUGUUCUCUCUUUUCCUGAUCCUACACCCUGUGGGAAAAGCUGCUCAAGAGCACAUAGGCAGAG
Long non-coding RNA from Motacilla alba alba, 438 nucleotides. RefSeq lists it as uncharacterized. The record is from RefSeq and is a predicted model, not a curated record. The transcript has 3 exons. NCBI's taxonomy places the organism in Eukaryota, Metazoa, Chordata, Aves, Passeriformes, Motacillidae.